UGUGGGAAAUAUUUGCUGAGU
This 21-nucleotide microRNA is filed under the name Macaca fascicularis (crab-eating macaque). Its description in RNAcentral is "novel_miR22-5p". The record is from RNAcentral. Lineage: Eukaryota; Metazoa; Chordata; Mammalia; Primates; Cercopithecidae.